GUUGGGUGUCCGUGGUCAAUAAGGGGUGCACGACGGACAGGGCCUACGAUUGGUCGUUAUGCCUUGUCCAUUUAGAAAAAUCCUAAAAUUUUAGCUUGCUAAUUCAAGACAAGGGUAAAAUUGUUCAAGAAGGAUCUAAACGCUAAAUUGAAAGAUUGAAGGCGUAAAUGCUACAAUUAGGAGAUUGUGGCCCAAGUUAGAGAUCUCUGCUACCAUUUCCCUGAAAAGAUUUUUAUAAGCUACUUAUAAGCAUAGCCAAACACGUUCUUUGGCCUUUGCACCCCACUUACGAACAGACGACAACCUUAAACAUAGAAUUUACUCUGGUCUUCGGUAGUCCCUGCCCUUUAACAAUGGAUCCUCAACCUGAACCAGUAAGCUACAUCUGUGGAGGUACAUCUUAACAUACAUGGAUGGAUAUUGAAUGUGUAAUUUUUCUGUCUGUUUUUAGAUGAUUUAAUAAUGUUAAAAUGAUUUCACAGAUUGCAGCCAAGAGAACACGCUGAAGCCAGGCGACGUUAUUCAAUGCCGCGAGUGCGGUUAUCGUAUCCUCUACAAGAAACGUACCCGAAGAAGUAAAUUUUCAAUACCCAUUUAUUUGGCCUCUUUGAAUAUAUACAGUAGUUUUAUGAUUUAUUAAUGCUGAAUUAGCUGGGUACUUAUUUUAAUAUCUUGUUUCUUCUCGUUUUAGUGAUGGGUUGAAUCUGAAAGAUUCUUGGGCCAUUAUGAAAAUGUUUUGGAAUCGAAUAAUUUGUUCAAUUUGUUUAUUUUUGCAAACUUAUACUCAAUUUGACGUAUUUUAAUGAUUUUCUUUUAGCAGUGAUCGAGUGAAAGCUUCUAAUUAAUUUUUUGUGGUGUCCAAUAGUAGCUUGUUUGAUCAAAAGUGACUGAAACUUUGGUUUCGUUGGGUUCUUUAUGGAAGAUUAGUAAAUUCCUGAUAAAUACGAAUAAAUGGAUUACAUUUUUGGCAUGUGUAUUCGAGAUUAGAAGUAUAUUGAUAUUUUCUUCUUCUAGUUCAUGGUUCGAAUCCAGUGAACGCACUGAUUAGCCUCUUCAUUUGUACGGAUUCAAACUUCCGCUUCAUAUGGGGCGAUUACCUGUUAUAAAAAAUCUUAUGGAUGCAAAAAGAAGGAAAGAAAAGGAAAAUGAUUCAAUUUUUUAAGUUGAAGGAGGAUAAUGCAGGCGAAUUCCACUAACGUUCAGUUUGAAGUUUGUCAUAUUUUUAAUUUCAUCUCAAAUUCAGCUCGUGAAAAGUGUGUUCUAGCUUGACUUGAAUAUAAGAUUGAGCAUUUCUUUGGACUUUUUUAUGGUCUUAAUGGAACUUGGGCAACCAAAAGCUCAACCCGAGUCGGUUCGCUUACAACCUAAGAGCAUCUUCAAGAAACUCUCUAAACACAAUAUACUCUCUAUCUUACAUAGCCAAUGCUUAAAAUUGAGCUCGAAAAGACUCUUUAUGUCUUUUUUAAAAUAGAGAGUAGGUUUGGUUAUUCUUUAAUGUCCAAUGAUUGCAUUCAAUACAUUACAAAUUUCAAUUUUCUAUGAUUUAAAUUAUUCAAAUUACAUUUGAAUUGAUUGGACAUUGACAUACAAAAAAAUAACGUAAAAUAAGAUGUUUUUAUUAUGCAUAAAAUGUAUUUUAUAAAUAGACAAUCUCUUGAAGAUGCUCUGAUUGGAUUAGCAGAUUAUUUCAAGCGGGUUAUAUAUUAGCAAUCAUCUUAGAACUUUUCUGCUCGAGAAAUAGUUAAAAUUAUAAAGAUAUUGCUUUGCUUUACAAGGCUUGGACAUUAUUUUUGUACUGGUUCGACCUUUGUUGCAUGUUAAACUAUGGUUCACCCUUUAUGUGAUUUUAGUUGAUUGUGCAUUCAAUUGUUUCAACUAUUCUUAAGUAUUCUCUUUGGUAGUAAUAGUAUCAACUACUUACGAAUAAAAUUUUCUGCUGCAGUUGUCCAAUACGAAGCUCGUUGAAGCUGCUUCUGAUGGUCCAAAAGCAUAAUUCAGGUGAGGUGAGACUAAGGGUGUCUUCCAUAAUUAUACAAGAUGUUGGUGGAUGCUUUAUAUAUUUCUCAGAAUUGUUAGUUAUAUUGUCAACUUGUCUUGGUCUGGCGUGAUUUUAUCAUGACUCUUCUGUAUGGUACAAAUGAUGGUCAAUCUACACUUGUCUAGAAAAUCUUUUUCCUUGUUCACUAAUAAAUGGACUAAACUCAUGUUUCAUAUUAUGUUGUGACGCUCGUUUGGAGUAUAAAAACUCUCCAUUUUCAUUGAAAUCAGUUUGUCAUCUUUGGAAUGCUUGCCGAGUAAAGGCUUCUAUGCCCUGAAAGUUUGAUUUGCAAGGUUACGUUAUUGUUUAGUAAAUACAGAUGGAAAUAGCUGUGUCGUGCCCUGUAUGUAGAUUUUAACUGGACAAAGCUUCCUUGGUUACUAGAGGUAUAAACCAGACUGGACCGCUAGUUGGCCCGGGGCUUCAAUGGUUG
RNAcentral lists this long non-coding RNA (2471 nucleotides) under Olea europaea subsp. europaea. The record is from RNAcentral. Lineage: Eukaryota; Viridiplantae; Streptophyta; Magnoliopsida; Lamiales; Oleaceae.